Molecule: transfer RNA, 68 nt
Filed under: Camponotus concavus
Lineage: Eukaryota; Metazoa; Arthropoda; Insecta; Hymenoptera; Formicidae
Description: tRNA-Gly
Source: RNAcentral
AUUUAUAUAGUAUAAAAUAUUACAUUUAAUUUCCAAUUAAAAAACUUAAACCCACUUUAAUAUAAAUA